UUGAAUAUAAUAUACAUUAGAAGUAAGGAGAACUUCAAAAAGUACGAUAAUCUGCUUGAAAUAGAAAAAAGAUUUUAUUUUGAUUAAAACAACACUUUUAUGAUUGCAUAUAUAGAUAACUUUACAAGGCAAAAUAUUGCACAGCGAGAAGAAAUCAGCAUUCUUGGUGGAACCCUCAAUGAUCUGGCUAAAGAAAAGGAAUGCCUGCAAGCAUGUUUGGAUAAAAAAUCUGAGAAUAUUGCAUCCCUUGGAGAGAGUUUGGCAAUGAAAACAGUGUACUGAGGCCCUAAUGGUGUGUGAACAAGACGUUUCCAGAAUGCGUCGGCAAUUGGAUGAGACAAAUGAUGAGCUGGCCCAGAUCGCCAGGGAAAGAGAUAUCUUGGCUCAUGACAAUGACAAUCUCCAGGAACAGUUUGCUAAAGCUAAACAAGAAAACCAGGCACUGUCCAAAAAAUUGAAUGACACUCAUAAUGAACUUAAUGACAUAAAACAGAAGGUUCAAGAUACUAAUUUGGAGGUUAACAAGCUGAAGAAUAUAUUAAAGUCUGAAGAAUCUGAGAACCGGCAAAUGAUGGAACAACUUCGAAAAGCCAAUGAAGAUGCUGAAAACUGGGAAAAUAAAGCCCAUCAAUCAGAGGCAGAUAACAAUACCCUCAAACUGGAACUUAUCACUGCUGAGGCAGAGGGUAACAGAUUAAAAGAAAAAGUAGAUUCCCUCAACAGAGAGGUUGAGCAACACUUAAAUGCAGAAAGGUCUUACAAGUCCCAGAUUUCUACCUUACAUAAAUCUGUUGUAAAAAUGGAAGAGGAGCUUCAGAAGGUUCAGUUUGAAAAAGUGUCCGCUCUUGCAGAUUUGUCUUCUACUAGGGAACUCUGUAUUAAACUUGACUCAAGCAAAGAACUUCUUAAUCGACAGCUGGUUGCUAAAGAUCAAGAAAUAGAAAUGGGCCAUCCAGAGUAGAGAUGUGGCCCAGUUCAGAAAUGUUGUCACACAAUUGGAAGCUGAUUUAGACAUUACCAAAAGACAACUAGGAACAGAGCGCUUUGAAAGGGAGAGGGCCGUACAAGAACUUCGCCGCCAAAAUUAUUCAAGUAAUGCUUAUCAUAUGAGUUCUACAAUGAAGCCAAAUACAAAAUGUCAUUCACCAGAACGUGCUCACCAUCGAUCUCCUGACCGAGGCCUAGAUCGAUCAUUAGAAGA
RNAcentral lists this small RNA (1201 nucleotides) under Pan troglodytes (chimpanzee). RNAcentral's name for it is "processed transcript". Lineage: Eukaryota; Metazoa; Chordata; Mammalia; Primates; Hominidae. The record is from RNAcentral.